CUGAAUGCGUGGCCUUCGGGCCCGUCUUUCUACACCCUUUGUCUACCUUCCUGGUGCCGAAUCGUCCGGGGCAACCCGGGCCUGCAGGCACCGCAACCUCUGGUGAGAUGCGUCGUUUGACAAAUCGAAUCCACACA
This 137-nucleotide unclassified non-coding RNA is filed under the name uncultured fungus. RNAcentral's name for it is "sequence contains ITS1". Lineage: Eukaryota; Fungi. The record is from RNAcentral.